This 1528-nucleotide ribosomal RNA is filed under the name uncultured rumen bacterium. Its description in RNAcentral is "bacterial SSU rRNA". It matches the Rfam family "Bacterial small subunit ribosomal RNA". The record is from RNAcentral.
AGAGUUUGAUCCUGGCUCAGGAUGAACGCUAGCUACAGGCUUAACACAUGCAAGUCGAGGGGCAGCAUGUUGGUUGCUUGCAACCAAUGAUGGCGACCGGCGCACGGGUGAGUAACGCGUAUCCAACCUUCCCCUUAGUAGGGCAUAGCCCGUAGAAAUGCGGAUUAAUACCCUAUGUUGUAUAUUGAGGACAUCUGAUUUAUACCAAAGGUUCACCGCUAAGGGAUGGGGAUGCGUCUGAUUAGGUAGUCGGCGGGGUAACGGCCCACCGAGCCUACGAUCAGUAGGGGUUCUGAGAGGAAGGUCCCCCACAUUGGAACUGAGACACGGUCCAAACUCCUACGGGAGGCAGCAGUGAGGAAUAUUGGUCAAUGGACGAGAGUCUGAACCAGCCAAGUAGCGUGCAGGAUGACGGCCCUAUGGGUUGUAAACUGCUUUUAUACGGGGAUAAAGUGAGGGACGUGUCCCUUUUUGUAGGUACCGUAUGAAUAAGGACCGGCUAAUUCCGUGCCAGCAGCCGCGGUAAUACGGAAGGUCCGGGCGUUAUCCGGAUUUAUUGGGUUUAAAGGGAGCGCAGGCCGAUGGUUAAGCGUGACGUGAAAUGUAGCCGCUCAACGGCUGAACUGCGUCGCGAACUGGCUGUCUUGAGUGAGUUCGAUGUGGGCGGAAUUCGUGGUGUAGCGGUGAAAUGCUUAGAUAUCACGAAGAACUCCGAUUGCGAAGGCAGCCCACAAGGCCUUUACUGACGCUAAUGCUCGAAGGUGCGGGUAUCGAACAGGAUUAGAUACCCUGGUAGUCCGCACGGUAAACGAUGGAUGCCCGCUGUUUGCGAUAUACUGUGAGCGGCCAGAGAAAUCGUUAAGCAUCCCACCUGGGGAGUACGCCAGCACGGUGAAACUCAAAGGAAUUGACGGGGCCCGCACAAGCGGAGGAACAUGUGUUUUAAUUCGAUAAUACCCGAGAAACCUUACCCGGGGCUUGAACUCCAGCGGAAGGAUACAGAAAAUGUUUACGUCCCUUCGGGACCACUGUGGAGGUGCUGCAUGGUUGUCGUCAGCUCGUGCCCUGAGGUGUCGGCUUAAGUCCCCAUAACGAGCGCAACCCUUUUCAUCAGUUGCCAUCAGGUGAUGCUGGGCACUCUGGUGAUACUCCCACCAUAAGGUGUGAGGAAAGUGGGGAUGACGUCAAAUCAGCACGGCCCUUACAUCCGGGGCUACACACGUGUUACAAUGGGGCAUACAGAAGGCGGGACCAUGGCAACAUGGUUCAAAUCUUUAAAGUGCCCCUCAGUUCGGAUUGGGGUCUGCAACCCGACCCCAUGAAGCUGGAUUCGCUAGUAAUCGCGCAUCAGCCAUGGCGCGGUGAAUACGUUCCCGGGCCUUGUACACACCGCCCGUCAAGCCAUGAAAGCCGGGGGCUCUUUAAGGGCAGUGACCGUAAGGAUCGGCCUAGAGCGAAACUGGUAAUUGGGGCUAAGUCGUAACAAGGUACCCUUUCAAAGGAGGUGCGGCUGGAUCACCUCCUUUCU